This 652-nucleotide ribosomal RNA is filed under the name Ehrlichia muris. RNAcentral's name for it is "bacterial SSU rRNA". It matches the Rfam family "Bacterial small subunit ribosomal RNA", at positions 48 to 720 of the family's 1533-position model. The record is from RNAcentral. Lineage: Bacteria; Pseudomonadati; Pseudomonadota; Alphaproteobacteria; Rickettsiales; Anaplasmataceae.
CUAACACAUGCAAGUCGAACGGAUAGCUACCCAUAGCUUUUUUAGCUAUAGGUUUGCUAUUAGUGGCAGACGGGUGAGUAAUGCAUAGGAAUCUACCUAGUAGUAUGGAAUAGCCAUUAGAAAUGAUGGGUAAUACUGUAUAAUCCCUGCGGGGGAAAGAUUUAUCGCUAUUAGAUGAGCCUAUGUUAGAUUAGUUAGUUGGUAAGGUAAUGGCUUACCAAGACUAUGAUCUAUAGCUGGUCUGAGAGGACGAUCAGCCACACUGGAACUGAGAUACGGUCCAGACUCCUACGGGAGGCAGCAGUGGGGAAUAUUGGACAAUGGGCGAAAGCCUGAUCCAGCUAUGCCGCGUGAGUGAAGAAGGCCUUCGGGUUGUAAAGCUCUUUCAAUAGGGAAGAUAAUGACGGUACCUAUAGAAGAAGUCCCGGCAAACUCCGUGCCAGCAGCCGCGGUAAUACGGAGGGGGCAAGCGUUGUUCGGAAUUAUUGGGCGUAAAGGGCACGUAGGUGGACUAGUAAGUUAAAAGUGAAAUACCAAAGCUUAACUUUGGAGCGGCUUUUAAUACUGCUAGACUAGAGGUCGAAAGAGGAUAGCGGAAUUCCUAGUGUAGAGGUGAAAUUCGUAGAUAUUAGGAGGAACACCAGUGGCGAAA